GACGAACGCUGGCGGCGUGCUUAACACAUGCAAGUCGAACGGAAAGGCCCUGCUUUUGUGGGGUGCUCGAGUGGCGAACGGGUGAGUAACACGUGAGUAACCUGCCCUUGACUUUGGGAUAACUUCAGGAAACUGGGGCUAAUACCGGAUAGGAGCUCCUGCUGCAUGGUGGGGGUUGGAAAGUUUCGGCGGUUGGGGAUGGACUCGCGGCUUAUCAGCUUGUUGGUGGGGUAGUGGCUUACCAAGGCUUUGACGGGUAGCCGGCAUGAGAGGGUGACCGGCCACCUGAGGACUGAGAUACGGAGCAGACUCCUACGGGCGGCAGCAGUGGGGAAUCUUGCACAGUGGGCGGAAGCCUGAUGCAGCAGCGCCGCGUGCGGGAUGACGGCCUUCGGGUUGUAAACCGCUUUCGCCUGUGACGAAGCGUGAGUGACGGUAAUUGGUAAAGAAGCACCGGCUAACUACGUG
Molecule: ribosomal RNA, 468 nt
Filed under: uncultured bacterium
Lineage: Bacteria
Description: partial 16S ribosomal RNA
Rfam family: Bacterial small subunit ribosomal RNA
Source: RNAcentral